This 300-nucleotide ribosomal RNA is filed under the name uncultured Sporohalobacter sp. RNAcentral's name for it is "bacterial SSU rRNA". It matches the Rfam family "Bacterial small subunit ribosomal RNA", at positions 496 to 795 of the family's 1533-position model. Lineage: Bacteria; Bacillati; Bacillota; Clostridia; Halanaerobiales; Halobacteroidaceae. The record is from RNAcentral.
GCUACCUAGGAGGCAGCAGACGGGGGAAGACUGAGGGUGCAAGCGUUAUCCGGAAUCACUGGUCGUAAAGCGUGCGGUGGUGGCGCGUUAAGUGAGAUGUUAAAUCGGGUGGCUCAACCAUAUCGAUGCGUCUCAUACUGGCGUGCUAGAGGACAGCAGAGGCAAGUGGAAUUGGUAGUGUAGCAGUGAAAUGCGUAGAUAUUACCAGGAACACCAAUGGCGAAGGCAGCUUGCUGGGCUACUCCUGACACUGAGGUACGAAAGCGUGGGGAGCGAACAGGAUUAGAUACCCCAGUAGUC